GGUGGGGUUCCCGAGCGGCCAAAGGGAGCAGACUGUAAAUCUGCCGUCAUCUACUUCGAAGGUUCGAAUCCUUCCCCCACCACCA
RNAcentral lists this transfer RNA (85 nucleotides) under Escherichia coli. Its description in RNAcentral is "tRNA-Tyr". It matches the Rfam family "tRNA". From Rfam's summary of the family: Transfer RNA (tRNA) molecules are approximately 80 nucleotides in length. RNAcentral also lists the same sequence under 2 other names. Lineage: Bacteria; Pseudomonadati; Pseudomonadota; Gammaproteobacteria; Enterobacterales; Enterobacteriaceae. The record is from RNAcentral.